GGCGUCCAGCAACCCAGCCCCGUGCACAGCCGGCGCAGGGAGCCGCUCCUCCGCCCGCGCUUCCUCCUGCCCCAAAUCCCCGCCCGCCCCGCAGCUGUAGUUCCCGGGCGCCUCCGCCGCCGCGCAGCUCUACGGCUCCCCAGCCCGACGCGGACUACGACUCCCAGGAUGCUCCGCGCCGCCUCCGCCGGGGACGCGUGGCCGCCGCUCCUUGUGCAAUGGCCCUCGCGCUCGCCAAGGGGUUUCUGGGAAGCGUAGUCCUCGCCGCUUUGGUCCCGGGCAGGUUGCUAUGUAAGCAAACCUGGGGACGGAGGAAGCUUCUGCAAGAGAGAGAGAGAGAGUGAGGGGGUUUGUUUUGUUAAGCUGCGCCAGAUUGCUCCAGUAUUUCUCAAGAGAUGAACCGUCAGUAUGUUGAAGACCGGAUUGUGGAAGUGGACCCUCUUCCCUUCACCUGGAGCGUGGAAACACCUGGGCCUCAUUAUGCUCUCUGUUUGAAGAUGUCGCGGCUUAAGCAAUUAGCGUUCAACUUUGAGUUUGGAUCUGUAGACCCCAGGCAAUCAUUUCCAAAGACAGAAUUUCCUGAACGGUAGGAUUGUUAAGCUUGACAUCUCUUUAAAUGAACUCCAAGAGAUUCCACCCGAAGCCCUUUUCCCGUUUGAGAAUUUGGCCGAGCUGGACGCGUCGCUUAAUGCUUU
This 695-nucleotide long non-coding RNA is filed under the name Podarcis muralis (Common wall lizard). RNAcentral's name for it is "lncRNA (ENSPMRG00000014256.1)". The record is from RNAcentral. Lineage: Eukaryota; Metazoa; Chordata; Lepidosauria; Squamata; Lacertidae.